Molecule: long non-coding RNA, 2198 nt
Organism: Polypterus senegalus (gray bichir)
Lineage: Eukaryota; Metazoa; Chordata; Cladistia; Polypteriformes; Polypteridae
Exons: 5
Source: RefSeq, a predicted model, not a curated record
UAUGGUGGGCAUGAUUUCAUCCAGUCAAUGCCACAAUGCCACUGAUUUGCUGAGGCAGCGCGUCAUCAUAUCCCAGCGCCACUCUGAUUGGCCGAGGCAACACACCAAGGCAUUCGGCGCGAAUCACUUUGUUCACUCGAUCAGCUCUGCUCAGUUUGUCUUGCAACAAGCGGAAGAAACGCUCGGCCAGCCAGUCAUCGUGAAUGUGACAAUUACAACCUGACCAGUCAGGCAGAGGACGACGACGAUGAUGAGGUGCCAUUUAAAUUGACGAGGAACUGCAGAGGGCUUUGUAAGAAAUAGUAUGUUUCUCACUCUCAAGUAACAAGAUGUGCAUCAGUUUUGAGGUCAGUCAGAUGGAUGGUUUGAGAAUUAUGCAUGGAAAACACACACAGACACUCGCACACAGGCAGAUGGAUGACAUUUGUAAUCUGACACACUGGCCCUCAAAUUUUUGACUUAAAUGUGUAUAAACAUUUUUUUGCAGAAUUGACAGAUUCAGAUGAAGAGAACAUCACAGGUAAUGGUUUUCUAUAAUGACUUUAUAAUUUGUUUUAAGAUUAAUAACUUUUUUUUAAUAAGGUUAUUCCAUUUUUUUGGAGAUGCAUAUGCUUAUUUUCACUGUAUUACCUCUGUAUAGGUGUCAAGCUGCCCAAAUACCCCACUGCACCAAAAAAGCUGUGGUCCAUUCAAGGUACCAACUUGAAUCUCAAUGCAUGUGGGAAUAAUGACAACUUAUGAAGCAUGGCACUGUCUUCAUUCAUGUGUUUCAGCCUCUGAAGAUCAGCCAGGUCUGUGGAGCGUGCGGACAGUUCUCAGGGCAGCGAAAUGUCCGCUCCUUGUGAGUAUUUACUUCUCCCCUCGCAUCAACCAUCCCAUUGAACAAAGUAAAAAGUCCAUUCAAGAUGGUGAAUUUCUCACUGCUUCUGAAUUGAGCAUCAAGGGGAAGGGCUAAAAAGAGGGCUUAAGGGUAGAAAUGGGAUUCAGCCCCAGUGUCCAUCACAGCUAAAGGUCAUCUUUUUGUUUCCUUUCAAUAAUUUUGCACCUUUGAAUAUUCUUUGUCUUUUUCAGGCCCUCAAACUGCAAGCACAGCACCUCGGUGUGGAGAUCUGUCGACACCUAGUGAGAAUUCAUCUCAUCUCGCUUUAAACAGUCACUUUUUUAUUUUAUCAUCUUUGUGUAAGAACAUUCUUUGUGGUUUUUCAGGAUCUCGACAUGCAGCAGGAGGUUGUCCCAUGGGUGGCUAUCGCUCUUGGUAAAGAAACAGGAUAAGGCACAGCAUUGGCUGGCUUCUACUGGUUGGACUCCAGCACAUAUUGUUCACCAACCAGUAGGUGUUAGUCUGUUUUCGUGUUAUGGCCAAGUGAUUUAAAAUAAAUUUAAAUGGUACUGGGUCCAGAGGUAGGUCCAGCAGAGGAUCCAGACACAGGUCCAGGUCACGGCACGGUGGUUCGAGGCACACGGACAGGCGUGACGGGUCACACCGUACUGAUGCCUACAGAUGUGAUGAAAGAUCCUGGCACAGUGAACCUUAUCUUAUGACGGGCCAAGGCAUGGUGAGUUGUCCAAAGGCUGCAAUUUCAUCAAAACACUUUGCAAUUCAGUUAGUCGUACUGAUGAACCUGUAAUUGUUUUAAUCACGUUACUUAAGAUUAUUUCUCUUCUAAUCCUGCCCGAAUCUGUUAAAGUUUGUCAUUUGGUAAUGUCUAAAUUAAACUUUCUGUGGUGCAGAUGCAGUGACAGAUCUAAAAUGGACAUUCCCAUUGCCUACGGAUGAACGAGGUCUUAACCCUGCUGUUUGACCUGCGCGAUCAGUACAAGAAAGCAGAACCUGCCUCUUCAGCCGUACACAUUUUGAGGAUGGAGACUAUGGUGGAUUUUGAGGCAGAGGAGCAACGCCUCUGUGAUGCGCAAGCUUUUGAUACCCUGGCUCUUCAGUAAUGCCCUGAUGGCGAGGUUUAAUAUGAAGGGGAAGAGGAAAAGGGGCCAGAAACCUUUGGAGAACACAAAGGUUUAUAGAGCAAUACAAGAUGGAGUCGUGAAAUUUGACCCGGCAGCCACAGAGGGCUUUAUAAGGAUGUGUGCUUCAGAGCAUUUAAAGCAUGCACCACAAAGAUGUGGAGGUCGAGUGGACACACUCAUCUCUCAACUCUCAUCGAUCAUGACUGAUUAACUUUUUAAUUUUUUGUAUUCAAUAU